Long non-coding RNA from Arabidopsis thaliana (thale cress), 793 nucleotides. RefSeq annotates it as other RNA. The record is from RefSeq. The transcript has a single exon. NCBI's taxonomy places the organism in Eukaryota, Viridiplantae, Streptophyta, Magnoliopsida, Brassicales, Brassicaceae.
GAUUGGUGCGGGUGGUAGUGAACUGGAUUGGAGGAGAGAUGAAUACAAUUUUGGUUAUUGGGCCGAGUAAGGCCUAUUAAAGAGAAAUUAAAUAAUUCAUUUUAAUCUCCCAAUCAGAGAAUUCUAACCAUAACAUACCGAAUCGGAGCAAACCGUCCGACCAUAAUGCGAAUUUUAAUUUCAAAUCCUUACAACAAAUCGAAACGUUAUACAUUAAAACCGUAAAGGGCCAAAGGCCCAUAAAGCCGCCUAAUAAUAACAAAGAAGGGUGAAAAAUGGAAAUAACAAAGAAGAGUUUUAAAAAAAGGAAACUUUGAAUCCAAAAAACAGGAGUCUAUAAAUAUAGAGAGUCUCAAGCCUUCUCUUCUCUCUAUCUGUAAUCGUUUUAGUUUCAUUAAACAAACCCUUGAGAAAUACACACAGAGAGAAUUAUAGAGUGGGAGAGAUGAAAUUACAUACGCAAUUGCUCUGAUUUGUUUCUCCAUUCUCUUCUUCGAUUCCUGCUUCGAUUGCUUCUAUUUCAUCUCUAAUGAUGCUCUGGUUCUUCUCCUUCCUUUGUCUCUCGAUCAUGGCGUAACGAUAACUUCUCUCAGUCUCCGUCGUCGGAAGUUUUUGUACUUUUGUUUGACUUCAAAGGACGUCGGAUUUUGUUUACUCUGUCUUUGGUUCAUCGGAAGCUUUUGCGUUUCUCAGUCACGGACACGCUUUGGUUCAUUGGAUGAUCGGAUUAUCGGAAGCUUUUGCUUUUCUCAGUCACGGACACGGUGGUGGGGAAAAAGGCCUUGGAUUGCGA